RNAcentral lists this ribosomal RNA (113 nucleotides) under Lactococcus cremoris subsp. cremoris TIFN7. RNAcentral's name for it is "Lactococcus lactis subsp. cremoris TIFN7 partial 23S ribosomal RNA". It matches the Rfam family "Bacterial large subunit ribosomal RNA", at positions 2813 to 2925 of the family's 2925-position model. Lineage: Bacteria; Bacillati; Bacillota; Bacilli; Lactobacillales; Streptococcaceae. The record is from RNAcentral.
CCCAUUCGUAAGAAUUAAGAGCCCAGAGAGAUGAUCUGGUAGAUAGGCUGGAAGUGGAAGAGUUGCGAGACUUGGAGCGGACCAGUACUAAUCGCUCGAGGACUUUACCAAAA